Molecule: ribosomal RNA, 386 nt
Filed under: uncultured Nitrososphaera sp.
Lineage: Archaea; Thermoproteati; Nitrososphaerota; Nitrososphaeria; Nitrososphaerales; Nitrososphaeraceae
Description: bacterial SSU rRNA
Rfam family: Archaeal small subunit ribosomal RNA
Source: RNAcentral
GCGCGAAACCUCUGCAAUAGGCGAAAGCUUGACAGGGUUACUCUGAGUGGUGAUCGCUAAGAUCAUCUUUUGGCACCUCUAAAAAUGGUGUAGAAUAAGGGGUGGGCAAGUCUGGUGUCAGCCGCCGCGGUAAUACCAGCACCCCGAGUGGUCGGGACGAUUAUUGGGCCUAAAGCAUCCGUAGCCGGUUCUGCAAGUCUUCCGUUAAAUCCACCUGCUCAACAGAUGGGCUGCGGAGGAUACUACAGGGCUAGGAGGCGGGAGAGGCAAGCGGUACUCAGUGGGUAGGGGUAAAAUCCUCUGAUCCACUGAAGACCACCAGUGGCGAAGGCGGCUUGCCAGAACGCGCUCGACGGUGAGGGAUGAAAGCUGGGGGAGCAAACCGG